UAUUGAUUGCGGUGAGGGUCCACCUGUUCCCAUCCCGAACACAGAAGUUAAGCUCAUUCGCGUCGACAAUACUUGCAGGGCGACUUGCCGGGAAGAUAGAU
RNAcentral lists this ribosomal RNA (101 nucleotides) under uncultured Faecousia sp. Lineage: Bacteria; Bacillati; Bacillota; Clostridia; Eubacteriales; Oscillospiraceae. The record is from RNAcentral.